Molecule: ribosomal RNA, 408 nt
Filed under: uncultured bacterium
Lineage: Bacteria
Description: partial 16S ribosomal RNA
Rfam family: Bacterial small subunit ribosomal RNA
Source: RNAcentral
AGUGAACGCUGGCGGCGUGCCUAAUACAUGCAAGUCGAACGAAGUGGCGCACGGGUGAGUAAUAUAUAGUUAAUCUGCCCUACACAGAGGAACAACAGUUGGAAACGACUGCUAAUACCACAUAGUGUAGGAUGAGACUAUAUCGUAUCAGCUAGUUGGUAAGGUAAUGGCUUACCAAGGCUAUGACGCGUAACUGGUCUGAGAGGAUGAUCAGUCACAUUGGAAUUGAGACACGGUUGAGACGCAUUCGGCAUGGAGCAGGAAGGUAGAUUGCGCAAUAGGGGAAUCCCUGACGCAGCAACGGCGCGUGGAGGAUGACACUUUGCGGAGCGUGAACUCCUUGUAUUACGAAAGCGGUACCUGACGAAUAAGCACCGGCUAACUCCGUGCCAGCAGCCGCGGUAAUUC